RNAcentral lists this ribosomal RNA (19 nucleotides) under Aspergillus versicolor. RNAcentral describes it as "partial 18S ribosomal RNA". Lineage: Eukaryota; Fungi; Ascomycota; Eurotiomycetes; Eurotiales; Aspergillaceae. The record is from RNAcentral.
GUAACAAGGUUUCCGUAGG